UACCAGCUCUCCGAGUGGUGUGGAUGUUUAUUGGGCCUAAAGCAUCCGUAGCUGGCUGGGCAAGUCCCCUGUUAAAUCCACCGAUUUAAUCGUUGGUGUGCGGGGGAUACUGUUCGACUAGGGGACGGGAGAGGCCGACGGUAUUUUCGGGGUAGGGGUGAGAUCCUAUAAUCCCGGGAAGACCACCAGUGGCGAAGGCUGUCGGCUAGAACGCGCCCGACGGUGAGGGAUGAAAGCUGGGGGAGCGAACCGGAUUAGAUACCCGGGUAGUCCCAGCUGUAAACGAUGCAGGCUAGGUGUUUGGGCGGCCACGUGCCGCUCUAGUGCCGCAGAGAAGUCGUUAAGCCUGCCGCCUGGGGAGUACGGCCGCAAGGCUGAAACUUAAAGGAAUUGGCGGGGGAGCACCACAAGGGGUGAAGCUUGCGGUUU
RNAcentral lists this ribosomal RNA (429 nucleotides) under uncultured archaeon. RNAcentral's name for it is "bacterial SSU rRNA". It matches the Rfam family "Archaeal small subunit ribosomal RNA", at positions 474 to 903 of the family's 1478-position model. The record is from RNAcentral.